CAGGGUAUAGCUAAACAUAGGAAAGCGCCUCACUUACACCGAGAAGACAUCCGUGCAAAUCGGAUUACCCUGA
RNAcentral lists this transfer RNA (73 nucleotides) under Beryx mollis (alfonsino). Its description in RNAcentral is "tRNA-Val". It matches the Rfam family "tRNA". Rfam says of the family: Transfer RNA (tRNA) molecules are approximately 80 nucleotides in length. Their secondary structure includes four short double-helical elements and three loops (D, anti-codon, and T loops). RNAcentral also lists the same sequence under 1 other name. Lineage: Eukaryota; Metazoa; Chordata; Actinopteri; Beryciformes; Berycidae. The record is from RNAcentral.